UUAUGACCAUUUAUUCAAUAAUACAUUUUAUCUGGAUGAUUAUGUUAUUUUAGAGCAGAUAUAUAUUAAUAUGAAUAAAUGUUAUUAUUCCGAUCUCCUCCCAGUUUAUCACACUCAUUUAGUGUUUAUGCAAAUCAUCUGUUCCUGUCAAAAUUUGACUUUCAUGAUCAGAACAGCUUGUCGUCCUUCUCAUCUGCCAAAGAAACCCUCAGACAGCCUGAGGCGAAACCAGAAAAAUCAAUCUUGUUGCUUUGAAAUCAUUUUUCAUUUUAAUCAUCAAUACACAAAAUAUCUCAAUAAUUUGACACAAAAUAACAUUUAGAAAUAGAACCUGCACCUCUUCAGAAAAUGAUUUAUUAGAUCCAAUGGGAUCAAAUAAAAGAAGUUGUCUUCUUCUCGACUAACCACAUGUGGCUCUAGUGAUGCCAGCCUGCAGUUGCCAUGGAAACCUAACAAUGAGUCUUCAAAAAAGAUUGAGUUUUUACUGUUUUAGACACCAAACGGAAAGGAUUUUCGCUCUUUUAGGACAUGAGCUUCAGUAAAUCAUCAAGGUGGAUUCAUGUUUCUCCUUUAUGAUCGCUGGAUCUUAACAGAGCGUAAACGGCUAACCCGAUUUCACGAGCAAAUCAGGUUGUAUCCCAGAUUCACAGCAUCUCCUGCUGUCGGCUGCAACCAAACUCAGACCGUCCUCCGAGAGCAAAUGCUCCAACUAACAGAAUAUCUGGGGCAAACCGGCCUCUCGUCUCUCCUUUUGAAGGGACACACAAUACUGGAUGAUGACACCUGGUCGCUGGAAAUAGCUUCAAUUCAAUACUGAGGAGCCUGUUUCUAUGCGGACGCCUCAUUAGCACACUGUUACCACGACUCGCAGCCCCUCACACCUCCUCCAAGGCCUCGCUCUGCCUACACUCCACCAGCAGGCACUCACAUUUGUAUAAUGAAAGUGGUUCACUUUCAGACGGUGGCCCAAUUAGGUGUGAGACGCUGAGAGCUGGAGAGGAAGUGCUGCUCGGAUCUGUAACACAGCCUGAAGCUUGUUGGUAAGUGGACAGAAAAUCUCAGAUGCAGCAUCGAACUUUCCAACAAAAGGACAAACUUUUACCAAAGAGGCCAAAGAGUUCU
Molecule: long non-coding RNA, 1122 nt
Organism: Oryzias melastigma (Indian medaka)
Lineage: Eukaryota; Metazoa; Chordata; Actinopteri; Beloniformes; Adrianichthyidae
Exons: 3
Source: RefSeq, a predicted model, not a curated record